UUCCCCUAGUAACUGCGAGUGAAGCGGGAAAAGCUCAAAUUUGAAAUCUGGCAGUUUGUUAAGCUGUCCGAGUUGUAAUCUAGAGAAGUGUUACCUGUGCUGGACCAUGUACAAGUCUCCUGGAAUGGAAGCAUCACAGAGGGUGAGAAUCCCGUCUUUGACAUGGACUGCCUGCACGUUGUGGUGCGCUCUCGAAGAGUCGAGUUGUUUGGGAAUGCAGCUCAAAAUGGGUGGUAAAUGCCAUCUAAAGCUAAAUAUUGGCGAGAGACCGAUAGCGAACAAGUACCGUGAGGGAAAGAUGAAAAGUACUUUGGAAAGAGAGUUAAACAGUACGUGAAAUUGCUGAAAGGGAAACGCUUGAAGUCAGUCGCGUCAGCCAGAAAUCAGCCUUGCUUUUGCUUGGUGUAUUUUCUGGUUUUGACGGGUCAGCAUCAAUUUUGACCACUGGAUAAAGUCAUUGGGAAUGUGGCAUCCUUGGAUGUGUUAUAGCCCAUUGUUGCAUACGGUGGUUGGAAUUGAGGAACUCAGCACCCCACAAGGCCGGGUUUCGACCACGUUCGUGCUUAGGAUGCUGGCAUAAUGGCUUUAAUCGAGCCGUCUUGAAACACGGACCAAGGAGUCUAACAUGCCUGCGAGUGUUUGGGUGGAAAACCCAUGCGCGAAAUGAAAGUGAAAGUUGAGAUCCUCUAUGAGGAGCAUUGACGCCCGGACCAGACCUUUUGUGACGGAUCCGCGGUAGAGCAUGUAUGUUGGGACCCGAAAGAUGGUGAACUAUGCCUGAAUAGGGUGAAGCCAGAGGAAACUCUGGUGGAGGCUCGUAGCGAUUCUGACGUGCAAAUCGAUCGUCAAAUUUGGGUAUAGGGGCGAAAGACU
RNAcentral lists this ribosomal RNA (873 nucleotides) under uncultured fungus. RNAcentral describes it as "eukaryotic LSU rRNA". It matches the Rfam family "Eukaryotic large subunit ribosomal RNA", at positions 75 to 932 of the family's 3401-position model. Lineage: Eukaryota; Fungi. The record is from RNAcentral.